UGUGAUUGAGUUUAUUGAAGUUUUCUAGACCAAUUUCUUGUUGCUUCUCUAGUGUUUAAUCUAGUGGGUAGUGACAGAA
Juglans microcarpa x Juglans regia is the source of this 79-nucleotide long non-coding RNA. RefSeq lists it as uncharacterized. The record is from RefSeq and is a predicted model, not a curated record. NCBI's taxonomy places the organism in Eukaryota, Viridiplantae, Streptophyta, Magnoliopsida, Fagales, Juglandaceae. The transcript has 4 exons.